AGUGAACGCUGGCGGUAGGCCUAACACAUGCAAGUCGAACGGCAGCACAGUAAGAGCUUGCUCUUACGGGUGGCGAGUGGCGGACGGGUGAGGAAUACAUCGGAAUCUACUUUUUCGUGGGGGAUAACGUAGGGAAACUUACGCUAAUACCGCAUACGACCUACGGGUGAAAGCAGGGGAUCUUCGGACCUUGCGCGAUUGAAUGAGCCGAUGUCGGAUUAGCUAGUUGGCGGGGUAAAGGCCCACCAAGGCGACGAUCCGUAGCUGGUCUGAGAGGAUGAUCAGCCACACUGGAACUGAGACACGGUCCAGACUCCUACGGGAGGCAGCAGUGGGGAAUAUUGGGCAAUGGGCGCAAGCCUGAUCCAGCCAUACCGCGUGGGUGAAGGAGGCCUUCGGGUUGUAAAGCCCUUUUGUUGGGAAAGAAAAGCAGCAGGUUAAUACCCCGCUGUUCUGACGGUACCCAAAGAAUAAGCACCGGCUAACUUCGUG
This 492-nucleotide ribosomal RNA is filed under the name uncultured bacterium. RNAcentral's name for it is "partial 16S ribosomal RNA". It matches the Rfam family "Bacterial small subunit ribosomal RNA", at positions 29 to 507 of the family's 1533-position model. The record is from RNAcentral.